RNAcentral lists this transfer RNA (73 nucleotides) under Dictyocaulus viviparus (bovine lungworm). It matches the Rfam family "tRNA". From Rfam's summary of the family: Transfer RNA (tRNA) molecules are approximately 80 nucleotides in length. Their secondary structure includes four short double-helical elements and three loops (D, anti-codon, and T loops). Further hydrogen bonds mediate the characteristic L-shaped molecular structure. tRNAs have two regions of fundamental functional importance: the anti-codon, which is responsible for specific mRNA codon recognition, and the 3' end, to which the tRNAs corresponding amino acid is attached (by aminoacyl-tRNA synthetases). tRNAs cope with the degeneracy of the genetic code in two manners: having more than one tRNA (with a specific anti-codon) for a particular amino acid; and 'wobble' base-pairing, i.e. permitting non-standard base-pairing at the 3rd anti-codon position. The record is from Rfam by way of RNAcentral. Lineage: Eukaryota; Metazoa; Nematoda; Chromadorea; Rhabditida; Metastrongylidae.
ACUUGGUGAAUGCAAAUGGUAAGCACAACAGACUGAACAUCUGUCGGUGCGGGUUCGAGUCUCGCCUAAAGUU